This is a long non-coding RNA of Cyprinus carpio carpio, 1098 nucleotides long. Lineage: Eukaryota; Metazoa; Chordata; Actinopteri; Cypriniformes; Cyprinidae. The record is from Ensembl.
CCAAAUUGUUAAAAUAGGCAUGACGUUUCCUUUGCCUUGGGCAGUUGGCCUGGGCACAUUGCAGGUGCUCCAAGGCUAAAUUUUCCCGUGGUAUCCACUUGUGUUCCAUGUACCCAGUUGUCUCUACGUCAGCUCUCGCAGUUAUUAAGAGGUAGCCCAAACACUUGCCCAUGUCCACAUGUCCAAUGUAAACUCAUGAAGAGCGACUGGAGGCUAAUAUCAUGGAUAGACUGGGACUGGAAUCACAGGACACUGAUGUCUGGGGUAAUGGAGAGACUGUCCGUCCAAAGGGUUCAAGACCUCCAAACAUCAUGAGACAGAUUGGACUCACGUCAAGUCCGUGCCAUAACUGAGCAUGCAUUUAUCUGUGUCUCAUACUCUCUUCCUUCAUCCGUGAGGCUUCAAUGCAUCCAUUUCCUCUUUUAACUGUUUUAUCUGGCAAGACUUCAUGUUGUUUGCUUAUUUGCAACCAUCCAAAAGAUUCUUGGAUAUUUAGGAGAAUUUACAACUAGGUUAAAACUUCAAAAGUGGUCAGCCAAUAGUGCUGUUGACAAGUGCAGUUGGGUGGUUCAUUUGGGUGUAUUUCCACAGAGGCGAAGCUUACACCCAGCUGAGCUUCACACUCCCUCUGCCCUGGGCUUCAGCCUCUCAUUAUAGGUCUUUCCUGCAGCCUUCUGGCUAUAGAAACACAUUUUCUGCUCCAAUGAUCAAAGACACCAAAGACACCAAAAGUGGGGAAAAACAUCAGUUUUUCAAAACGUCAUUUUUUCACUUUACAUUUUUAUGCAUAGCCACCAUGCUAGACCUUAACAUUGAGUUUGUCAGUCACAGCACAAAGGGGCGGCUCAACAAAGGCUGCAAGACUGAAAAGAGGCCAGUCUAAACUGCUACACUAAAUAUGGAUAAUCGUUUUCUCCCGGUGGCUCAAACAACAUUAAGGAGGUCUUCAUUAGUGGUUUUAACCAGGGCUUCUACAUGGAGUGUGUUUGGCCACCACCUGCUCCAUUAGUCUCUUUCCUGGCCCUACCAGGUUUUGUGUCCACUCAGUUUUAUGUGAAGAGCCGGAAGAACAUUACUGACCUGAAACUAAUAUGCCUC